Wasmannia auropunctata (little fire ant) is the source of this 546-nucleotide long non-coding RNA. RefSeq lists it as uncharacterized. Lineage: Eukaryota; Metazoa; Arthropoda; Insecta; Hymenoptera; Formicidae. The transcript is spliced from 2 exons. The record is from RefSeq and is a predicted model, not a curated record.
GUUCAGUACGCCCGUGGCCCUCUCUGGACGUGCACGGUGUCUCGCGGUCGUCGGUCGAGCUACCUGCCGCGACGCCGAGGUCGGGCCCUUCUCGGGAGGAGCGUCGACUGCGAGAAAGGGAGAGAGAGAGAUCGAUCGUCCAGCCCCGUGGAUUAGAAGUGCGCGCGUGUGCGACAUCCCAGCGAAGGUAGAGAAAAAGUACGCGUUUCGUUGUUAGGCCCGCAACCAUCGCCGGCGACACCAGGCGUACUCUUGCUGGAGCCGAUCACGCACUCAACAGGACACCCGCUAAACAUGGCCAGCAAUCCCGCGGAACUUUUGACCACGCACACCGAACACACCACGCCCGCCUACCACGCGCAGAUCAGGUGAGGUCUCGCUACGACAAAAUCUAGUCUUACAAAACUUGAUAACUCGCCAGAUGGUGAGAUAAAUUGGCGCAUCUGGCAAAAUACCGAAAGAAACUAAUUAAGAAUCAAUUCUUGGAAAGAAACGCGUUUCGCGUGAUUUAAUGAACUCUAUCAAAGACCUUUCUUCACAAACGCA